GUUUAUAAAUGGCAAAAAUAUAGAAAAGCAUUUGAGCAGUAUUAGAAACGAAUUAGGACUGUGUCCUCAAGAAAAUAUGGUUUUUCCAGAUUUGAAUGUAUUUGAACAAAUAGAGUUCUUUGGCUUGUUGAAAGCUGAAAAUAAAACCAGAGACAAAGUCAGGGAGGAUGUUCAUGCUUUGCUGGCUAAAUUGAAGCUUUCCGAGAA
Molecule: long non-coding RNA, 207 nt
Organism: Wasmannia auropunctata (little fire ant)
Lineage: Eukaryota; Metazoa; Arthropoda; Insecta; Hymenoptera; Formicidae
Exons: 2
Source: RefSeq, a predicted model, not a curated record